Molecule: ribosomal RNA, 483 nt
Filed under: uncultured bacterium
Lineage: Bacteria
Description: partial 16S ribosomal RNA
Rfam family: Bacterial small subunit ribosomal RNA
Source: RNAcentral
UUGAACGCUGGCGGCAGGCCUAACACAUGCAAGUCGAGCGGAUGAGGGGAGCUUGCUCCCUGAUUUAGCGGCGGACGGGUGAGUAAUGCCUAGGAAUCUGCCUGGUAGUGGGGGAUAACGUUCCGAAAGGAACGCUAAUACCGCAUACGUCCUAAGGGAGAAAGCAGGGGACCUUCGGGCCUUGCGCUAUCAGAUGAGCCUAGGUCGGAUUAGCUAGUUGGUGAGGUAAUGGCUCACCAAGGCGACGAUCCGUAACUGGUCUGAGAGGAUGAUCAGUCACACUGGAACUGAGACACGGUCCAGACUCCUACGGGAGGCAGCAGUGGGGAAUAUUGGACAAUGGGCGAAAGCCUGAUCCAGCCAUGCCGCGUGUGUGAAGAAGGUCUUCGGAUUGUAAAGCACUUUAAGUUGGGAGGAAGGGCUGCUGGUUAAUACCCUGCAGUUUUGACGUUACCAACAGAAUAAGCACCGGCUAACUUCGUG